RNAcentral lists this long non-coding RNA (624 nucleotides) under Mytilus galloprovincialis (Mediterranean mussel). The record is from RNAcentral. Lineage: Eukaryota; Metazoa; Mollusca; Bivalvia; Mytilida; Mytilidae.
GUGCAACAUUCAUUCUCCAUGAAAAGAAUACAUCACAUGGAUGUAAUUUUUGUAAGAAAAAAUACCAAUUUCGUGAGAAGUUGUGUGUUGGACUUGAAGAGCCAAGGCAAACUGACAAAUAUCUGAAUGAACGAAUCGAUUUAUGGUAUAUAAAAAAAACAAAGCCCACAUGGUUAGCAUUGAAUAAAUAGAAGGCCACUCUUAAAUGAUGACAACGUAGAAGUUUUUGUUCUCUUAAUCAAUAAGAUAUUUUCUGAAAUAACGCGGGUCCCUAUUAACUUAAAAGUUUUUUUGUUUUUUUUUUACCAUGAAUAAACUUUUUUUUUUAUUAUUAUUUAUUGAUAUCAGCUCUGGACAUUAAUAUUCUUAAAAGUGAAACUGUUGUAAGUGAUGGUAUAACAAUUAUUUAAAAUAAAUUCCUUAAAUGAUAUGUGAAAAGAAAGUUUCAUUUUAUGUAUCAAAAUGUGUAACAAAUGAUUAUUUAAAUCCCCACUUGAAGGCCUCCGAUAGACUGAGUGAGCAUAAAAUCAUCGCCCACGACAAACAAGUUAAAGGUAAACUUUUCAGUACAAUUACUAAUAAACGUUUUACUGUCGACCACACUGUUAUGAAUUUCGUUCUAUA